This 368-nucleotide ribosomal RNA is filed under the name uncultured organism. RNAcentral's name for it is "bacterial LSU rRNA". It matches the Rfam family "Bacterial large subunit ribosomal RNA", at positions 2099 to 2465 of the family's 2925-position model. The record is from RNAcentral.
CUUGACUGUAGCUUGGAAUUGGGUUCGGGCUCUUCUUGCGCAGCCUAGGUGGGAGGCGUUGAAGGUUUUCUUUCGGGGAAACUGGAGCCAAUAGUGAGAGACCACUCUGGAGGAGCUAGAAUUCUAAUGGCGUUCCUUGAAGCAGGACGCUUGACAGUUUCAGGUGGGCAGUUUGACUGGGGCGGUCACCUCCUAAAAGGUAACGGAGGUGUGCAAAGGUUCCCUCAGGCUGGACGGAAAUCAGCCGGAGAGUGUAAAGGCAGAAGGGAGCUUGACUGCAAGACCUACAAGUCGAGCAGGGGCGAAAGCCGGCCUUAGUGAUCCGACGGUUCCGCAUGGAAGGGCCGUCGCUCAACGGAUAAGAGUUA